RNAcentral lists this ribosomal RNA (433 nucleotides) under uncultured bacterium. RNAcentral describes it as "partial 16S ribosomal RNA". It matches the Rfam family "Bacterial small subunit ribosomal RNA", at positions 29 to 507 of the family's 1533-position model. The record is from RNAcentral.
AACGAACGCUGGCGGCAUGCCUAACACAUGCAAGUCGAACGAUCCCUUCGGGGAUAGUGGCGCACGGGUGCGUAACGCGUGGGAACCUGCCCUUAGGUUCGGAAUAACUCAGAGAAAUUUGAGCUAAUACCGGAUAAUGUCUUCGGACCAAAGAUUUAUCGCCUUUGGAUGGGCCCGCGUUGGAUUAGCUAGUUGGUGGGGUAAAGGCCUACCAAGGCGACGAUCCAUAGCUGGUCUGAGAGGAUGAUCAGCCACACUGGGACUGAGACACGGCCCAGACUCCUACGGGAGGCAGCAGUGGGGAAUAUUGGACAAUGGGCGAAAGCCUGAUCCAGCAAUGCCGCAUGAGUGAUGAAGGCCUUAGGGUUGUAAAGCUCUUUUACCCGGGAUGAUAAUGACAGUACCGGGAGAAUAAGCCCCGGCUAACUCCGUG